RNAcentral lists this ribosomal RNA (578 nucleotides) under uncultured bacterium. RNAcentral describes it as "bacterial SSU rRNA". It matches the Rfam family "Bacterial small subunit ribosomal RNA", at positions 338 to 916 of the family's 1533-position model. The record is from RNAcentral.
CCUACGGGAGGCAGCAGUAAGGAAUAUUGGUCAAUGGAGGCAACUCUGAACCAGCCAUGCCGCGUGCAGGAAGAAGGCCCUAUGGGUCGUAAACUGCUUUUGUACCAGAGAAAACCCGAGUACGUGUACUCGGUUGAUAGUAUGGUAAGAAUAAGCAUCGGCUAACUUCGUGCCAGCAGCCGCGGUAAGACGAAGGAUGCAAGCGUUAUCCGGAUUCAUUGGGUUUAAAGGGUGCGUAGGCGGACUGAUAAGUCAGUGGUGAAAUCUCUCAGCUUAACUGAGAAACUGCCAUUGAUACUGUUAGUCUAGAGUAUAGAUGACGUUGGCGGAAUAUGACAUGUAGUGGUGAAAUACUUAGAUAUGUCAUAGAACACCGAUUGCGAAGGCAGCUAACGAAACUAUAACUGACGCUGAGGCACGAAAGUGCGGGGAUCAAACAGGAUUAGAUACCCUGGUAGUCCGCACCGUAAACGAUGAUUACUCGUUGUUGGCAAUAUGACCGUCAGCGACCAAGCGAAAGCGAUAAGUAAUCCACCUGGGGGUACGCCGGCAACGGUGAAACUCAAAGGAAUUGACGG